GCCGCAGCCUCCUCAUUAUCGUCAAUUUCCCAAAACAAUCCCUGAAGCUCAUUGAAGACAGCUCUGUAGAGAUUACCCAUCAAGAAUUCAGGCGCAUCCGGGCCAUUGAACCCAUCAUAAAUUCCAACGAACAACCACCCUUGCUCUUCCGAUACAACCACAUGUACCCGAUCCUCUCCAGCCUUCCCAAGUGCCCAUUGAACAUCACUCUCAUUCCUCACCUCCGGCUCAUCUCCCG
RNAcentral lists this unclassified non-coding RNA (238 nucleotides) under Hevea brasiliensis (rubber tree). The record is from RNAcentral. Lineage: Eukaryota; Viridiplantae; Streptophyta; Magnoliopsida; Malpighiales; Euphorbiaceae.